CGACUCCAGGCAGUCCUGCUCUCAGCACACAGGUUUUUCAGAGGUACCCAUGCUCUGUGCAGGAGGCCUGGACACUGACAAGGAACCAGGUCCCUAAAAUUUAACCUGUAGUAACUCUAACUUUUGGGUAGCUAGUGAAAAAGGAGCUGAAUUCUACCCUCAGGAGCCAGGUGCUACGUAGCCUGAAUGUCUUAAUUAAAUGUCCUUAAAUGCCCUAAACUGAAAGACCAGAGCAGCAAGCAGCUACCCAGACCUCUGCUGAAGGCUGAUUUUAGGAAUGCUUGGCAACACAUCCCAAAAAAGUGGACUACUCCUUUAAACAUUCUUUGAGAAGAAAAUGGAGGUGACCUUGCAAAGGCUCCCCACAUCCCUUCUCCUACUGCAGAAAUAGUUUUGCUCUUUCAAGGGCUUGCAAGGCCCACAUUUGGAGGAUUUUUUUCUCAGCUAGAAGGUAAAUCCAGGUGUUAUGAUCACUGAGAGUCAUCUGGGCCUCUAACUCUUUAAAGCAGAUUUUUUGGUGCUGAUGAGAUGAACGUGCCCGACUGCUCUGGAAGUCUGGACCUGCUGGGUGAUGGAGCCAAACCUUCUGUGUGCCUUCUGCUGCAGCUAAAGGUGUCCUCUCAAAACAGAGCCAAAUGAUGAAUUAGGUUUUCAGAGGAUUUUUAUAGGCAUAAUUCUGCAUGCAGAUCUAUCAAAUAUCAAACCCCAGCUCUGGAUGGUUGUUAAAAUCCCAUUUAAAUGUGUUUAUGAAUCUC
Molecule: long non-coding RNA, 755 nt
Organism: Vidua chalybeata
Lineage: Eukaryota; Metazoa; Chordata; Aves; Passeriformes; Viduidae
Exons: 4
Source: RefSeq, a predicted model, not a curated record